RNAcentral lists this ribosomal RNA (256 nucleotides) under uncultured Pseudomonas sp. RNAcentral describes it as "partial 16S ribosomal RNA". It matches the Rfam family "Bacterial small subunit ribosomal RNA", at positions 96 to 355 of the family's 1533-position model. Lineage: Bacteria; Pseudomonadati; Pseudomonadota; Gammaproteobacteria; Pseudomonadales; Pseudomonadaceae. The record is from RNAcentral.
CGGCGGACGGGUGAGUAAUGCCUAGGAAUCUGCCUGGUAGUGGGGGACAACGUUUCGAAAGGAACGCUAAUACCGCAUACGUCCUACGGGAUAAAGCAGGGGACCUUCGGGCCUUGCGCUAUCAGAUGAGCCUAGGUCGGAUUAGCUAGUUGGUGAGGUAAUGGCUCACCAAGGCACGAUCCGUAACUGGUCUGAGAGGAUGAUCAGUCACACUGGAACUGAGACACGGUCCAGACUCCUACGGGAGGCAGCAGCC